This 497-nucleotide ribosomal RNA is filed under the name uncultured bacterium. RNAcentral's name for it is "partial 16S ribosomal RNA". It matches the Rfam family "Bacterial small subunit ribosomal RNA", at positions 28 to 507 of the family's 1533-position model. The record is from RNAcentral.
GAUGAACGCUGGCGGCGUGCCUAAUACAUGCAAGUCGAGCGAACAGACGAGGAGCUUGCUCCUCUGACGUUAGCGGCGGACGGGUGAGUAACACGUGGAUAACCUACCUAUAAGACUGGGAUAACUUCGGGAAACCGGAGCUAAUACCGGAUAAUAUAUUGAACCGCAUGGUUCAAUAGUGAAAGACGGUUUUGCUGUCACUUAUAGAUGGAUCCGCGCCGCAUUAGCUAGUUGGUAAGGUAACGGCUUACCAAGGCGACGAUGCGUAGCCGACCAGAGAGGGUGAACGGCCACACCAGAACUGAGACAGGGUCCAGACUACUACGGGAGGCAGCAGUAGGGAAUCUUCCGCAAUGGGCGAAAGCCUGACGGAGCAACGCCGCGUGAGUGAUGAAGGUCUUCGGAUCGUAAAACUCUGUUAUUAGGGAAGAACAAAUGUGUAAGUAACUAUGCACGUCUUGACGGUACCUAAUCAGAAAGCCACGGCUAACUACGUG